This 2893-nucleotide ribosomal RNA is filed under the name Pseudomonas aeruginosa. Its description in RNAcentral is "23S ribosomal RNA". It matches the Rfam family "Bacterial large subunit ribosomal RNA". The record is from RNAcentral. Lineage: Bacteria; Pseudomonadati; Pseudomonadota; Gammaproteobacteria; Pseudomonadales; Pseudomonadaceae.
GGUCAAGUGAAGAAGCGCAUACGGUGGAUGCCUUGGCAGUCAGAGGCGAUGAAAGACGUGGUAGCCUGCGAAAAGCUUCGGGGAGUCGGCAAACAGACUUUGAUCCGGAGAUCUCUGAAUGGGGGGAACCCACCUAGGAUAACCUAGGUAUCUUGUACUGAAUCCAUAGGUGCAAGAGGCGAACCAGGGGAACUGAAACAUCUAAGUACCCUGAGGAAAAGAAAUCAACCGAGAUUCCCUUAGUAGUGGCGAGCCAAAGGGGGAUUAGCCCUUAAGCUUCAUUGAUUUUAGCGGAACGCUCUGGAAAGUGCGGCCAUAGUGGGUGAUAGCCCCGUACGCGAAAGGAUCUUUGAAGUGAAAUCGAGUAGGACGGAGCACGAGAAACUUUGUCUGAACAUGGGGGGACCAUCCUCCAAGGCUAAAUACUACUGACUGACCGAUAGUGAACCAGUACCGUGAGGGAAAGGCGAAAAGAACCCCGGAGAGGGGAGUGAAAUAGAACCUGAAACCGUAUGCGUACAAGCAGUGGGAGCCUACUUGUUAGGUGACUGCGUACCUUUUGUAUAAUGGGUCAGCGACUUAUAUUCAGUGGCAAGCUUAACCGUAUAGGGUAGGCGUAGCGAAAGCGAGUCUUAAUAGGGCGUUUAGUCGCUGGGUAUAGACCCGAAACCGGGCGAUCUAUCCAUGAGCAGGUUGAAGGUUAGGUAACACUGACUGGAGGACCGAACCCACUCCCGUUGAAAAGGUAGGGGAUGACUUGUGGAUCGGAGUGAAAGGCUAAUCAAGCUCGGAGAUAGCUGGUUCUCCUCGAAAGCUAUUUAGGUAGCGCCUCAUGUAUCACUCUGGGGGGUAGAGCACUGUUUCGGCUAGGGGGUCAUCCCGACUUACCAAACCGAUGCAAACUCCGAAUACCCAGAAGUGCCGAGCAUGGGAGACACACGGCGGGUGCUAACGUCCGUCGUGAAAAGGGAAACAACCCAGACCGCCAGCUAAGGUCCCAAAGUUGUGGUUAAGUGGUAAACGAUGUGGGAAGGCUUAGACAGCUAGGAGGUUGGCUUAGAAGCAGCCAUCCUUUAAAGAAAGCGUAAUAGCUCACUAGUCGAGUCGGCCUGCGCGGAAGAUGUAACGGGGCUCAAACCACACACCGAAGCUGCGGGUGUCACGUAAGUGACGCGGUAGAGGAGCGUUCUGUAAGCCUGUGAAGGUGAGUUGAGAAGCUUGCUGGAGGUAUCAGAAGUGCGAAUGCUGACAUGAGUAACGACAAUGGGUGUGAAAAACACCCACGCCGAAAGACCAAGGGUUCCUGCGCAACGUUAAUCGACGCAGGGUUAGUCGGUUCCUAAGGCGAGGCUGAAAAGCGUAGUCGAUGGGAAACAGGUUAAUAUUCCUGUACUUCUGGUUACUGCGAUGGAGGGACGGAGAAGGCUAGGCCAGCUUGGCGUUGGUUGUCCAAGUUUAAGGUGGUAGGCUGAAAUCUUAGGUAAAUCCGGGGUUUCAAGGCCGAGAGCUGAUGACGAGUCGUCUUUUAGAUGACGAAGUGGUUGAUGCCAUGCUUCCAAGAAAAGCUUCUAAGCUUCAGGUAACCAGGAACCGUACCCCAAACCGACACAGGUGGUCGGGUAGAGAAUACCAAGGCGCUUGAGAGAACUCGGGUGAAGGAACUAGGCAAAAUGGCACCGUAACUUCGGGAGAAGGUGCGCCGGCUAGGGUGAAGGAUUUACUCCGUAAGCUCUGGCUGGUCGAAGAUACCAGGCCGCUGCGACUGUUUAUUAAAAACACAGCACUCUGCAAACACGAAAGUGGACGUAUAGGGUGUGACGCCUGCCCGGUGCCGGAAGGUUAAUUGAUGGGGUUAGCGCAAGCGAAGCUCUUGAUCGAAGCCCCGGUAAACGGCGGCCGUAACUAUAACGGUCCUAAGGUAGCGAAAUUCCUUGUCGGGUAAGUUCCGACCUGCACGAAUGGCGUAACGAUGGCGGCGCUGUCUCCACCCGAGACUCAGUGAAAUUGAAAUCGCUGUGAAGAUGCAGUGUAUCCGCGGCUAGACGGAAAGACCCCGUGAACCUUUACUGUAGCUUUGCACUGGACUUUGAGCCUGCUUGUGUAGGAUAGGUGGGAGGCUUUGAAGCGUGGACGCCAGUUCGCGUGGAGCCAUCCUUGAAAUACCACCCUGGCAUGCUUGAGGUUCUAACUCUGGUCCGUGAUCCGGAUCGAGGACAGUGUAUGGUGGGCAGUUUGACUGGGGCGGUCUCCUCCUAAAGAGUAACGGAGGAGUACGAAGGUGCGCUCAGACCGGUCGGAAAUCGGUCGUAGAGUAUAAAGGCAAAAGCGCGCUUGACUGCGAGACAGACACGUCGAGCAGGUACGAAAGUAGGUCUUAGUGAUCCGGUGGUUCUGUAUGGAAGGGCCAUCGCUCAACGGAUAAAAGGUACUCCGGGGAUAACAGGCUGAUACCGCCCAAGAGUUCAUAUCGACGGCGGUGUUUGGCACCUCGAUGUCGGCUCAUCACAUCCUGGGGCUGAAGCCGGUCCCAAGGGUAUGGCUGUUCGCCAUUUAAAGUGGUACGCGAGCUGGGUUUAGAACGUCGUGAGACAGUUCGGUCCCUAUCUGCCGUGGACGUUUGAGAUUUGAGAGGGGCUGCUCCUAGUACGAGAGGACCGGAGUGGACGAACCUCUGGUGUUCCGGUUGUCACGCCAGUGGCAUUGCCGGGUAGCUAUGUUCGGAAAAGAUAACCGCUGAAAGCAUCUAAGCGGGAAACUUGCCUCAAGAUGAGAUCUCACUGGGAACUUGAUUCCCCUGAAGGGCCGUCGAAGACUACGACGUUGAUAGGCUGGGUGUGUAAGCGUUGUGAGGCGUUGAGCUAACCAGUACUAAUUGCCCGUGAGGCUUGACCAU